RNAcentral lists this transfer RNA (73 nucleotides) under Perkinsus olseni. It matches the Rfam family "tRNA". From Rfam's summary of the family: Transfer RNA (tRNA) molecules are approximately 80 nucleotides in length. Their secondary structure includes four short double-helical elements and three loops (D, anti-codon, and T loops). Lineage: Eukaryota; Perkinsozoa; Perkinsida; Perkinsidae. The record is from Rfam by way of RNAcentral.
GCCUGGAUAGUCUAGUGGUUAUGACGUCUGCCCUACACGCAGAAGGUCGCGAGUUCAAUCCUCGCUCCUGGUA